GACGAACGCUGGCGGCACGCCUAACACAUGCAAGUUGAACGGACUUAAAAGAGCUUGCUUUUUUAAGUUAGUGGCGGACGGGUGAGUAACACGUGAGCAACCUGCCUCUGAGAGGGGGAUAGCUUCUGGAAACGGAUGGUAAUACCCCAUAAAAUAUAAAUAUCGCAUGAUAGAUAUAUCAAAGAAAUUCGCUCAGAGAUGGGCUCGCGUCUGAUUAGAUAGUUGGUGAGGUAACGGCUCACCAAGUCGACGAUCAGUAGCCGGACUGAGAGGUUGAACGGCCACAUUGGGACUGAGACACGGCCCAGACUCCUACGGGAGGCAGCAGUGGGGAAUAUUGCACAAUGGAGGGAACUCUGAUGCAGCGAUGCCGCGUGGAGGAAGAAGGUUUUCGGAUUGUAAACUCCUUUUAUCAGGGACGAUAAUGACGGUACCUGAAGAAAAAGCUCCGGCUAACUACGUG
Molecule: ribosomal RNA, 463 nt
Filed under: uncultured bacterium
Lineage: Bacteria
Description: partial 16S ribosomal RNA
Rfam family: Bacterial small subunit ribosomal RNA
Source: RNAcentral